Long non-coding RNA from Gossypium raimondii (Peruvian cotton), 451 nucleotides. RefSeq lists it as uncharacterized. The transcript is spliced from 2 exons. The record is from RefSeq and is a predicted model, not a curated record. NCBI's taxonomy places the organism in Eukaryota, Viridiplantae, Streptophyta, Magnoliopsida, Malvales, Malvaceae.
GGUAUACCAUUCACACCUAUAAAUACCAUCCACAUAUUCAAACAAAAACAUCAGUGAACAAAGCUUUACAUCGAAGAAUAGCAAGGGAGCAACAAAGGGGGGUUUGUUGAACUUUGAAGAUAUUUCCAAUGGAGGCUAAAGGGGUGAAGUUUGAGUUAGUGUUGAUUGUCUUGGCAAUGGCAAUGGGGGUGCUAGUUUUGAGUCCUAGUCUUGCGGAAGGUGCAUUCGGGAUCCAGCUCAAUCCAUGCACUCUCGAUCAAUGUAUUGCUGCAUGUAAAAAGAUUUUGCAUGAGAAAUUCCUUAGUGCAACUUGUGCUUCAGGCCCUCAAGGGAAAUACUGCAUCUGCUUAGGUUGAUAUAACUUGCUUAAUAUGCUUACUUAAAUUUACCAAUUAGAUAUGUAUCUUAUGAUAAAAAAGAAAAGAUAUAAAUAAAAAGUUUAUAUUGGGUA